CUCCUGGCUGCACUGGGGCGCCAUCCCCUUGGAGAGAGGGGCCCAGGCCGGCCCAUCACUGCACCUUCCCUCCUCCCUCCCGGAGCCUGGGGUGAGCCAGGAAGUGUCCGCUGUGUUCCGCAGGUGGUCAUAUGCCCUUCGCCCACGCUGGGUCCAUGCCAGGGUGGCCAAGGCCGGGGGCAGCGCCCGGACUAGGUCUGCUCACCCUGGGGGCGGCCAAGGAGCGGCCAGGGAAGUUUCUGAAGAGGGCCAAAGUGUGCCGGGCUCGGCCUCGCCGCUCUGCCCUUCUUGGAGUCGGGCCGGCGGCCAGGGCGGCUCGGGGGAAAGGGGCGUGCUCCAGGUGAGACGCCGCGCAAAGGCAAGGCGGCCGGACGGGGAAGCCGGGCUGGCAGGGGGACUCGAAGCAGCCUCCCUGGUUCGCAGCUCCCGGGCCCCGGGGACAGGGCCGGGGCGCGCUGCAGGAGAAGCCGAGCCUUGGACACUUCCCCAAGCGGCUCCGGGAUAGUUCAGCAAAAAUGCCACCUCCUAUAUGAAGCCUUUCCUGCUCUCUAGCCUCUCUAACCAUUGAUAAUGGAGCUAAAUGUGUGUCCAGUGAAAGGGGCCCUUUCCAGGGCAUUCCUGGGGACGCUUCAAGGGGAAUCAGAAAUGUUAGCUGCAGAAGAAUAGAGAGGAAUCGGAUGGACCCAGGAUGAAAACCUCUGGCCAAAAGGAACGUCUAGAUGGCACGAGAACGUGGCCUCUGCUGCUGUCACACUCUAAACUUCAUGCCGAAUCCCAGGAAACUAGGCAAGCCACGUUAAAAAAAAAAAACUGGAAAAUGAGUGGCUGCCCUUCGACUGGGGAAUGGCUGAACACAUUGUGGUAUCUGUUGGUGAUGGAAUAUUGUGCUCUAAGGAGUAAGGAACUGGAGGGAUUCCAUGUGAACUGGAAAGAGCUCCAGGAAGUGAUGCAGCGUGAAAGGAGCAGAACCAGGAGAACAUCGUACACAGAGAUGGAUACACUGUGGUACAAUCAAAUGUAAUAGACUUCUCUAUUAGCACCAAUUCAAUGACCCAGGACAAUUCUGAGGGACUUAGGAGAAAGAAUGUAUCCACAUUCAGAGGAAGAACUGUGGGAGCAGAAAUGCAGAAGGAAAACAACUGCUUGAUCACAUGGGUUGAGGGGGAUAGGAUUGGGGAUGUAGACUCUAAAUGAUCACUCUAGUACAAAUACCAAUAAUAUGGAAAUGGGACUUGAUCAAUGACAUGUAAAACCCAUUGGAAUUGCUCAUUGGCUACAAGUGGGGGGAGGAGGGGAGGAAAAGAACAUGAGUCAUGUAACCAUGGAAAAUAUUCUAAAUUAAUUAAUUAAAUAAAAACUUUCAAAUAAAUAAAAAAAUUUAAAUU
This 1385-nucleotide long non-coding RNA is filed under the name Monodelphis domestica (gray short-tailed opossum). RNAcentral describes it as "lncRNA (ENSMODG00000038528.1)". Lineage: Eukaryota; Metazoa; Chordata; Mammalia; Didelphimorphia; Didelphidae. The record is from RNAcentral.